This 279-nucleotide ribosomal RNA is filed under the name uncultured bacterium. RNAcentral describes it as "partial 16S ribosomal RNA". It matches the Rfam family "Bacterial small subunit ribosomal RNA", at positions 506 to 784 of the family's 1533-position model. The record is from RNAcentral.
UGCCAGCCGCCGCGGUAAUACGAAGGGGGCUAGCGUUGUUCGGAAUAACUGGGCGUAAAGCGCGUGUAGGCGGUUCGUUAAGUCUGAUGUGAAAGCCCGGGGCUCAACCCCGGAAGUGCAUUGGAAACUGGCGAACUUGAGUACGGGAGAGGAAAGUGGAAUUCCGAGUGUAGGGGUGAAAUCCGUAGAUAUUCGGAGGAACACCGGUGGCGAAGGCGGCUUCCUGGACGACUACUGACGCUGAGACGCGAAAGCGUGGGGAGCAAACAGGAUUAGAUA